This 305-nucleotide ribosomal RNA is filed under the name uncultured Pseudomonadota bacterium. Its description in RNAcentral is "bacterial SSU rRNA". It matches the Rfam family "Bacterial small subunit ribosomal RNA", at positions 29 to 351 of the family's 1533-position model. The record is from RNAcentral. Lineage: Bacteria; Pseudomonadati; Pseudomonadota.
AACGAACGCUGGCGGCAGGCCUAACACAUGCAAGUCGAACGAGAAGCCACCUUCGGGUGGUGGAAAGUGGCAGACGGGUGAGUAACGCGUGGGAACGUGCCUUUCGGUUCGGGAUAACCCAGGGAAACUUGGGCUAAUACCGGAUACGCCCUUCGGGGGAAAGAUUCAUUGCCGAAAGAUCGGCCCGCGUCGGAUUAGCUAGUUGGUAGGGUAACGGCCUACCAAGGCGACGAUGGUUAGCGGGUCUGAGAGGAUGAUCCGCCACACUGGAACUGGAACACGGACCAGACACCUACGGGAGGCUG